AAGCGCGCUCGAACCCCUGGAACUUAUGGGAAAUGUAGUCCGCAGUCAGAAAAGCGGAGGACCGGCCAAUACCGACAGUUUCUGUCCGGUACUGAGCCCGGCGGAGCCCAGGAGACCUCUGGGAGUGCUAGCCAGCCCUAGGAGUGCGCAGGCGCAGACUUUCUGGCUCGCCAUAGUCGUCUUUGUCUGCGGGCCGUCUUCCUCGUGCAUCCACAGGAACUGCACUUGCCUUGUCCUUUAAAACUUCCAGAAGUCCUAUGGCCUCAACCUGAAUUAUGGGAUGCUGCUUUGACCCUCAACAAUAACGUCCAAGUCCUGUGUCACUGUUUAGAAGUUUAAGGUGCCAGUUUAACAAGAUCAACAGAUGUCUGAGAGAGAAAUGUAAAGGAGGUGCUAUCCAGAAAAGGUCUGAGAAAUUUCUAAGUCAAUAGACACAACAUGGAAGACAUGUGAGUUAUGUUUCCUCCUUCUCCAUGAAAAUACAGCUAAGAAGAAAUUCAGAAAACCUGGGUAACAGAAAAGUAUUUCCUCUAAACACAGACACUAAUUUUUUAAGAUUAUAUCUCUGUGUAUGGGGUUCAGUUUAAGGGAAUUUAGAACAUAGUUUAUA
Long non-coding RNA from Lontra canadensis (Northern American river otter), 610 nucleotides. RefSeq lists it as uncharacterized. Lineage: Eukaryota; Metazoa; Chordata; Mammalia; Carnivora; Mustelidae. The record is from RefSeq and is a predicted model, not a curated record. The transcript is spliced from 3 exons.